This 404-nucleotide ribosomal RNA is filed under the name Mytilus sp. Ant12. RNAcentral's name for it is "partial 16S ribosomal RNA". It matches the Rfam family "Bacterial large subunit ribosomal RNA", at positions 1865 to 2550 of the family's 2925-position model. RNAcentral also lists the same sequence under 1 other name. Lineage: Eukaryota; Metazoa; Mollusca; Bivalvia; Mytilida; Mytilidae. The record is from RNAcentral.
AGUGCAACUAGAGUAAUGUUUGUUGUAAACGGCGGCGUUAACGUGAGCGUCCUAAGGUAGCGCGAUAAUUUGCUUUUCAAUUGAAGGAUGGUAUGAAAGGGUUAACGAAGAAGGUGCUGUGUCUAAAAAUUUAAUUUAAACUAACUUUAAGGUGAAGAGGCCUUUAUGUAAAAGAAGGACGACAAGACCCUAUGAAGCUUUAUCUUAAUUGGAGCUUUCAGGCUCUUAUACGAUUUUGAUGGGAGAUCAGUAGAAAUAAGUCUUCUACUAUUAUAUUAAUCUUACUAGUAUUUCCUAACUUUAUAUGUGUGGCUAGCUACUCUAGGGAUAACAGCGCAAUUUCUCCCGAAAGAUGGUAUUGGAGGGGAAGAUUGCGACCUCGAUGUUGGCUUUAGAUACCCUAG